AAGUCUGAUGUUAAAGCCCGGAGCUCAACUCCGGUUAGGCAUUGGAUACUGGCAAGCUAGAGUGCAGGAGAGGCAAGGGGAAUUCCCAGUGUAGCGGUGAAAUGCAUAGAUAUUGGGAGGAACACCAGUUGCGUAAGCGCCUUGCUGGACUGUAACUGACGCUGAGGGACGAAAGCCAGGGGAGCAAAUGGGAUUAGAUACCCCAGUAGUCCUGGCCGUAAACGAUGGAUACUAGGUGUUGCGGGUAUCGACCCCCGCAGUGCUGCAGCUAACGCAAUAAGUAUCCCGCCUGGGGAGUACGCACGCAAGUGUGAAACUCAAAGAAAUUGACGGGGACCCGCACAAGCGGUGGAACAUGUGGUUUAAUUCGAAGCAACGCGAAGAACCUUACCAGGGCUUGACAUCCCAAGAAUCCUGUAGAGAUACGGGAGUGCCUUCGGGAACUUGGUGACAGGUGGUGCACGGUUGUCGUCAGCUCGUGUCGUGAGAUGUUGGGUUAAGUCCCGCAACGAGCGCAACCCUCGUUGUUAGUUGCCAGUAACGGCAUGCUGUUACUGUGCUCUCUAGCGAGACUGCCGGUGAUAAACCGGAGGAAGGUGGGGAUGACGUCAAAUCAUCAUGCCCCUUAUGUCCUGGGCUACACACGUGUUACAAUGGGUGGGACAGCGAGCAGCCAACCAGCAAUGGUGAGCAAAUCUCAUAAACCCACUCCCAGUUCGGAUCGCAGUCUGUAACUCGACUGCGUGAAGUCGGAAUCGCUAGUAACCGUAGAUCAGCACGCUGCGGUGAAUACGUUCCCGGGUCUUGUACACACUGCCCGUCACACCAUGGAAGCUGACCACGCCCGAAGUCGGUGUGCUAACUCUUUGAGAGCAGCCGCCUAAGGC
RNAcentral lists this ribosomal RNA (887 nucleotides) under uncultured organism. RNAcentral describes it as "bacterial SSU rRNA". It matches the Rfam family "Bacterial small subunit ribosomal RNA", at positions 585 to 1463 of the family's 1533-position model. The record is from RNAcentral.